GCAGGUAUAAGUUAAUGGUAUACUAGCUGACUUCCCAUCCGGUAAGCGUCAGUUCGAAUCUGGUUACCUGCA
This is a non-coding RNA of Stachybotrys chartarum IBT 40288, 72 nucleotides long. The record is from Rfam. Lineage: Eukaryota; Fungi; Ascomycota; Sordariomycetes; Hypocreales; Stachybotryaceae.